This 254-nucleotide ribosomal RNA is filed under the name uncultured bacterium. Its description in RNAcentral is "partial 16S ribosomal RNA". It matches the Rfam family "Bacterial small subunit ribosomal RNA", at positions 524 to 776 of the family's 1533-position model. The record is from RNAcentral.
UACGAAGGGGGCUAGCGUUGCUCGGAAUCACUGGGCGUAAAGCGCACGUAGGCGGCUUUCUAAGUCAGGGGCUGAAAUCCUGGAGCUCAACUCCAGAACUGCCUUUGAUACUGGAAAGCUUGAGUUCGGGAGAGGUGAGUGGAACUGCGAGUGUAGAGGUGAAAUUCGUAGAUAUUCGCAAGAACACCAGUGGCGAAGGCGGCUCACUGGCCCGACACUGACGCUGAGGUGCGAAAGCGUGGGGAGCAAACAGG